CCUCCACCCUCACCACUACCCACCCAGCGCUUGUCCUCCCUUCCUGGUGGUGUAUAUAAAGCUUGACACAACUGCGAAACCAAGUCACUGGGUUCUGCGCACUGCUUGAACUACCUUCCUGGCUCUCGUUGGAUAGACAGUGAUUUUGUCUGUCCAAGUGAUACCGUGCAUCAUCGCAGGUCAAGAGUUGUGAAAUCAGUAUCGCAAGAGGUGUGAAAUAGCGCAAGAAUUUGUUCAUCCCUAUCUGAAGAAUUUGUUCGUCCCUAUCUGAAGAAUUUGUUCAUCCAUAUCGCAAAGAAGUUGUUCCUCCAUAUCGCAAGGAAUUUGUGUAAUUAAUAUCACAAUUUUGCGAUCGGGUCACAAGAAUUCUAGACACAAUAACCGACAUUCGUGCGCAGUCAGCAUCGCAAGAAACUGACUCAUAAUUAACAAGACAAUUUGCAGUCAGAACAUCUUCGCGAGCGCCGUCGAGAUGCCUUGCUACGACAACUACAGCUCGGUCGAAGUGGCGUCCUUGUGCACGACGGGGUACGGUCUGGACGCUUCCUCUCUCAUCAUCCUGACGUUCCCGCCCUACAGCGCCGGCCACGUUAGGCGCUACGAGUCCUUCUCUCCUCCCAACGCCACGCGAGGAUCCAAGAAACCAUCCUCCUCUCUCUCCUCUUCGCCUUCUCCUUCAUUCUCCUCCGACUCUUGCUCCUCCUCUUGUUCGUCCUCGACCGUCCCCCUUCCUAUUCUCCCUCCAUGUCCUCCUCGAGCUCGACCUCGACCCUCUGCCUCUCCGACGACGGCGCAAACAACCGGAAAUGGUGGAAGAACGUGAGGAAAAUUGGCAAUUACCCGAAGACGGUCGUUCGCAAAAUCAAGAAACGUUUCCAGUAACGUUUUUGAACGCAAGGUCGACGCAGACGUGGAGGUCCGUUGUCCGAUCACAGGAGGAAGGAUGUACGAGAAUGGGGAGAAAGGAGAGGUGAUGAAAAACGGGGGAAUAAAGAAGGAAAAUAAGAAAAGAGGACGGAAAACAUUUAGCUUGGGAAGGAAAUGCUUGGCUUAUGUAACUGUAUGCUGACCAAGUUCGAUGACGAUGAUAAUCUGAACGGCAACAAAAGAUACACAGAAUAAAGAAGAUAAAGGGAAAACGGGCAAACACGAUGACGUCAGCGAUAUGACAAACAUUCCAAGUCUCAUAAUUUAAGAAAUAUUUUUUUACGUCACAGAGGAAAACGAAGAAUGAUGAUGAAUAGAGACGGAGAGAAUAAACAGCAAUUCGAAGAUAUGGAGAGAAAAUAGAUUUCAGAAAGGGGAUGAAGGAAGAAGGAUAAACCAGAA
Molecule: long non-coding RNA, 1329 nt
Organism: Penaeus vannamei (Pacific white shrimp)
Lineage: Eukaryota; Metazoa; Arthropoda; Malacostraca; Decapoda; Penaeidae
Source: RefSeq, a predicted model, not a curated record